CGUGUAGGCGGUCCUAUUUGUCGCGGGUGAAAGCCCUGGGCUCAACCCAGGAAUUGCCCUCGAAACGGUAGGACUUGAGUUCGGGAGAGGAGAGCGGAAUUCCCAGUGUAGCGGUGAAAUGCGUAGAUAUUGGGAGGAACACCGGUGGCGAAGGCGGCUCUCUGGACCGAUACUGACGCUGAGACGCGAAAGCUAGGGGAGCAAACA
This 207-nucleotide ribosomal RNA is filed under the name uncultured bacterium. RNAcentral describes it as "partial 16S ribosomal RNA". It matches the Rfam family "Bacterial small subunit ribosomal RNA", at positions 568 to 774 of the family's 1533-position model. The record is from RNAcentral.